This 473-nucleotide ribosomal RNA is filed under the name uncultured Gammaproteobacteria bacterium. RNAcentral's name for it is "bacterial SSU rRNA". It matches the Rfam family "Bacterial small subunit ribosomal RNA", at positions 9 to 480 of the family's 1533-position model. Lineage: Bacteria; Pseudomonadati; Pseudomonadota; Gammaproteobacteria. The record is from RNAcentral.
GAGUUUGAUCAUGGCUCAGAUUGAACGCUGGCGGCGUGCCUAACACAUGCAAGUCGAGCGGUAACAGGCGUAGCAAUACGUGCUGACGAGCGGCGAACGGGUGAGCAAUGCUUCGGAAUCUGCCCAAUGGUGGGGAAUAACUAGCCGAAAGGUUAGCUAAUACCGCAUACGCCCUUCGGGGGAAAGCGGGGGUCGCAAGACCUCGCGCCGAUGGAUGAGCCGAAGUCGGAUUAGCUAGUUGGUAGGGUAACGGCCUACCAAGGCGACGAUCCGUAGCUGGUCCGAGAGGACGACCAGCCACACUGGGACUGAGACACGGCCCAGACUCCUACGGGAGGCAGCAGUGGGGAAUAUUGGACAAUGGGGGCAACCCUGAUCCAGCGACGCCGCGUGUGUGAAGAAGGCCUGCGGGUUGUAAAGCACUUUUAGGUGGGGAUGAAAAGCACAUUGCUAAUACCAGUGUGUCUUGACCU